AGUGAACGCUGGCGGCGUGCCUAAUACAUGCAAGUCGAACGGAGUGGCGCACGGGUGAGUAAUAGAGAGCUAAUCUGCCCCUUGCUGGAGGAUAACAGUGAGAAAUGACUGCUAAUACUCCAUAGCAAGGUAUGAGACUAGAUCGUAUCAGCUAGUCGGUGGGGUAACGGCCUACCGAGGCUAUGACGCGUAACUGGUAUGAGAGGAUGAACAGUCACAUUGGAAAUGAGACACGGUCCAGACUCGUACGGAAGGCAGCAGUAGGGCAUAGUGCGCAAUGGGAGAAACCCUGACGGAGCAACGCCGAGGGGGAGAUGACACUUUUCGGAGCGUAAACUCAUUUUGUUAGGGAAGCGGUACCUAACGAAUAAGCACCGGCUAACUCCGUGCCAGCAGCCGCGGUAAUAC
RNAcentral lists this ribosomal RNA (408 nucleotides) under uncultured bacterium. RNAcentral's name for it is "partial 16S ribosomal RNA". It matches the Rfam family "Bacterial small subunit ribosomal RNA", at positions 29 to 526 of the family's 1533-position model. The record is from RNAcentral.